Molecule: non-coding RNA, 675 nt
Organism: Pelobates cultripes (western spadefoot toad)
Lineage: Eukaryota; Metazoa; Chordata; Amphibia; Anura; Pelobatidae
Source: the annotation of a GenBank genome assembly
GGUCUGUUGAAUUAUUUUUGCAUGGUCUAGAAAUCCUGAGUACAGCUAGCAGUUUUUAAUUGUACAUUGGUUUGCAUAUCUUUCCUCCCGAUGAAAGGAUUUGGCAAUAAUAAAAAUUGAUUGCACUGGUUGGCUAUCCCAAAAGUGGCUGGAAUAAGGUGGGAAAAAUAAAUUCCCUGGUUUGGUGAGGGGGUGUCUAUAUCAGAGGUAGGCAACCUUUGGCAUUCAAGAUAUUAUGGACUACAUCUCCCUUGAUGCUUUGCCCCUGUGCUGGACCCCUGAAGGGUGCCUACCCUUGGACUGGAUGUUAUUCUCCCAGUAAUAGGUAGAAUAUGGUCCAUGGUUUCUCCUUUAAUUUUUGCUGAUGUCUGCACGGCUGUAUCUUAUUGUGGUUUUAGGUGUUGUUGAGGUUCCUUAUUGAACCUAGACACCAGUUGGAAAGCUCUGAACCUGCUGCUGACGCAAGAGCUUACAGUGACCUGUUUUUUCUGCCGGAUACGGACAGGUACAUUCAGUAAGGAUUGCUACCUAAAUCCAUUAUUCAUUUCUUGGUUCCCCGAGAUAGAAAUUAAGAUUGUCUGUUUAGGCAGGAUGACAAACACUGUGAUUUACCGUUCACCAAAUUGCACAAAUCAAUUGCUGGUUGGUUUAAUUUCACAGGUUGUUACGAAGUAC